AGAAGAGAGUAGAUGUGCGAUCACAAAAAUCACAUUAAAUUAAAAUCUGUAACUUUUAGAUUUUUGCCAAAUGAAUAAAUGAGUGCUAAUUUUAUGAUUAUUUAUAGUUGUGCUUAUUUUCUUUAUCAAACCACCCUUAAUUUCAAGCAACAGGA
This is a long non-coding RNA of Aricia agestis (brown argus), 155 nucleotides long. RefSeq lists it as uncharacterized. The transcript has 3 exons. Lineage: Eukaryota; Metazoa; Arthropoda; Insecta; Lepidoptera; Lycaenidae. The record is from RefSeq and is a predicted model, not a curated record.